UAUGGUGCGUGUGCACGUGGCCGUGGGCGUGAGUACAGGCAGGCUCAUGCCAUAGCACAUGAGUGGAAGUCAGGAGACCACUUUAGAGGUCAGUCAUUGCCUUCCAGCCUGUCUGACGCACAAGCCUUUGCUUUCUCUCCUGCAUUAGCCCGGCUAGCUGUCUCCCGAGCUUCUGCACAUUCUCCUUUGUCUGCCUCCUCUAAUUCUCCUGUGCCUGCCUCUUCUAAUUCUCCUGUGUCUGCCUCCUCUAAUUCUCCUGUGUCUACCUCCUCUAAUUCUCCUGUGUCUGCCUCCUCUAAUUCUCCUGUGUCUGCCUCCUCUAAAUCCAUGGGAGUGUUGGGACGAUGGCUGAACAGCCCUGCAUCUGGUGUCAUGUGGGUUCUGGCGAUCUCUCCAUUUGUGCUGAGCCUUUGACUCAUUAGCGCCUCCUCUCCUUCCACUGACUCUCUUCAUCGAAAAAAAAUCAAUUCCGUGUGGACCUGUGAUGAUUUAAAACCAUGUCCCUAUUUCUUUCAGUCAUGAAUGUGAACCAGGCAUAAUGACAAUCAAAUGCUUUAGACCGGGAGACGGCAUGACGUCAGACGUGGGUUGGAAAAGGCUGCCCGUUCUUCUGUGCGAAUCACUCACCUGUGGCGUCUUGAAUCACUGAGAAAAGUUUGAUGACCCUAGACUGUCAUCUCAUAAGGAAGCCCAACCUACAACCACAUGUAGGUCACUGGCUGACAGCCCCCAGAAGUCUCAGCUGGCACCAACACCAGCCACUAGAUGACUCUGUCCUCCAGUGAGGGCCUCAGGCAUCGUUCAGCAAUGUCAGAGUAUAAUAUCCUCACUGGGCUGUUGGGAGGAAGACAUAAAAUAACGCACAAAGAAGGCCUUUGACAAGGUUGCAUAAAGGUGGUUAUUAUUUUUGUGGGUCUUUUUUUUUUUUCACCGUCGUGUCCGGCCAUAUACUCAUUCAUAUAAGGGAAAUGUAGAAACACAGAGGAAAAAAGAAAGUCUCCAAUUUUAUUCUAGUCGACAGGGGAGAGGGUCAAGAAGUAGAAAACGUUUCUGAACUAUUCUAAAAGGGAUGGUACAGAAUCCAGUUCAAAGACAAGUGAGAUUGAUGGCUGAAGGUGUCUAUUAGAGGAAGAGACCAUGAAGGACCAAGAAAGGCUUCUUGCCAGAAAUUGGGUAUACACUGGAGGGAGAGAUUUAGGGUGUUGGAGGGGAGAUGGAAAGGAUGUGGGAGUGGGGAAAUAAACUGAGCGAAGGCAUAGACCAGGUAGGAGGGAAAGCCUGGGCCAAGGAAAUCUAUCUGUUGAUGAUGGACCAUCGCACGCAGGCCCAGCCCACGAGCCUAGGUAUCAAUCAAGUUAAGUAAGAAUUCAACGUGAUUUUUGAAUCCCUGUAAGGAGGAAGGUUCCAUGGCCUCUAGGCAGGAAUGAGUGCUUCUCAUAGGACUGCAGUCUUCUCCAAAGCACAGGAGCACUUUCUCCUAGGCUCACAGCACCCUAAUUCCCAGGGAACAUCUAAGAUGGUCUCCUUCUUGCCACACUGUACCUGAGCUUGCCCCUGCUGGCCAAGGCUGAGUGGGGUAGGAUGAGCACAGGGCCAGCCUGGGCUAACUUGACCUGUGGUUAUUCUCCAGGUGGUGCUAGUGUUCCUAGGAGUUCUGUGGCUCUGAGUCGCUGAAGAUGAAAGUUGGUAUCUUGGCCAGACAAGUGGUCUUCCUGUCUUGGUGCAGUCUUCCUCUGGGUCUCCUAGAGUUUCUCCAGGAAAUAGUAACCCCUGUGCAUAGGCUAGGAACUCUGACUUGCUUCUUGAGUGUGUUUCUGUCUGUAUUUUAUGAACAGCACAAGCAGCAGCAGCCACAGGCAAGAGCGUCUCAAGUGUGCUGAAGAAGCCAAGUGUGCCUUAGGACCCCUGCUGUAUUCACACGCUCUGUGACUUUGGGCAGGUCAUUUUCUCUGGGUUUUAAUUUAUAUGUCAAAAAUAGGAAAAUAAAACCAAAUGCAUA
This 1999-nucleotide long non-coding RNA is filed under the name Mus musculus (house mouse). RNAcentral describes it as "long non-coding RNA chr17:85712298-85714297". Lineage: Eukaryota; Metazoa; Chordata; Mammalia; Rodentia; Muridae. The record is from RNAcentral.